Molecule: ribosomal RNA, 492 nt
Filed under: uncultured bacterium
Lineage: Bacteria
Description: partial 16S ribosomal RNA
Rfam family: Bacterial small subunit ribosomal RNA
Source: RNAcentral
AGUGAACGCUGGCGGUAGGCCUAACACAUGCAAGUCGAACGGCAGCACAGUAAGAGCUUGCUCUUACGGGUGGCGAGUGGCGGACGGGUGAGGAAUACAUCGGAAUCUACUUUUUCGUGGGGGAUAACGUAGGGAAACUUACGCUAAUACCGCAUACGACCUACGGGUGAAAGCAGGGGAUCUUCGGACCUUGCGCGAUUGAAUGAGCCGAUUUCGGAUUAGCUAGUUGGCGGGGUAAAGGCCCACCAAGGCGACGAUCCGUAGCUGGUCUGAGAGGAUGAUCAGACACACUGGAACUGAGACACGGUCCAGAGUCCUACGGGAGGCAGCAGUGGGGAAUAUUGGACAAUGGGCGCAAGCCUGAUCCAGCAAUACCGCGUGGGUGAAGAAGGCCUUCGGGUUGUAAAGCCCUUUUGUUGGGAAAGAAAAGCAGCAGGUUAAUACCCCGCUGUUCUGACGGUACCAAAAGAAUAAGCACCGGCUAACUUCGUG